This 580-nucleotide ribosomal RNA is filed under the name Nocardiopsis sp. CKS_07. RNAcentral's name for it is "bacterial SSU rRNA". It matches the Rfam family "Bacterial small subunit ribosomal RNA", at positions 301 to 878 of the family's 1533-position model. Lineage: Bacteria; Bacillati; Actinomycetota; Actinomycetes; Streptosporangiales; Nocardiopsidaceae. The record is from RNAcentral.
CGACCGGCCACACUGGGACUGAGACACGGCCCAGACUCCUGCGGGAGGCAGCAGUGGGGAAUAUUGCACAAUGGGCGAAAGCCUGAUGCAGCGACGCCGCGUGGGGGAUGACGGCCUUCGGGUUGUAAACCUCUUUUACCACCAACGCAGGCUCCACGUUCUCGUGGGGUUGACGGUAGGUGGGGAAUAAGGACCGGCUAACUACGUGCCAGCAGCCGCGGUAAUACGUAGGGUCCGAGCGUUGUCCGGAAUUAUUGGGCGUAAAGAGCUCGUAGGCGGCAUGUCGCGUCUGCUGUGAAAGACCGGGGCUUAACUCCGGUUCUGCAGUGGAUACGGGCAUGCUAGAGGUAGGUAGGGGAGACUGGAAUUCCUGGUGUAGCGGUGAAAUGCGCAGAUAUCAGGAGGAACACCGGUGGCGAAGGCGGGUCUCUGGGCCUUACCUGACGCUGAGGAGCGAAAGCAUGGGGAGCGAACAGGAUUAGAUACCCUGGUAGUCCAUGCCGUAAACGUUGGGCGCUAGGUGUGGGGACUUUCCACGGUUUCCGCGCCGUAGCUAACGCAUUAAGCGCCCCGCCGGGGG